RNAcentral lists this ribosomal RNA (253 nucleotides) under uncultured bacterium. Its description in RNAcentral is "partial 16S ribosomal RNA". It matches the Rfam family "Bacterial small subunit ribosomal RNA", at positions 524 to 776 of the family's 1533-position model. The record is from RNAcentral.
UACGAAGGGAGCUAGCGUUGUUCGGAAUCACUGGGCGUAAAGCGCACGUAGGCGGAUGUGUCAGUCAGGGGUGAAAUCCCGGAGCUCAACUUCGGAACUGCCCUUGAUACAGCACAUCUGGAGUCCGGAAGAGGUGGGUGGAAUUCCUAGUGUAGAGGUGAAAUUCGUAGAUAUUAGGAAGAACACCGGUGGCGAAGGCGGCCCACUGGUCCGGUACUGACGCUGAGGUGCGAAAGCGUGGGGAUCAAACAGG